This 1588-nucleotide ribosomal RNA is filed under the name Cutibacterium acnes HL005PA2. RNAcentral describes it as "bacterial LSU rRNA". It matches the Rfam family "Bacterial large subunit ribosomal RNA", at positions 1403 to 2925 of the family's 2925-position model. The record is from RNAcentral. Lineage: Bacteria; Bacillati; Actinomycetota; Actinomycetes; Propionibacteriales; Propionibacteriaceae.
CGUGUCGAGGUGUGUGAUGCUAAGCAUGUGAGCUUGUCUUGGGAGUGUUUUUGAUGCUUCUGGGGUGGGUGAGUGUGUGAACCGAUCAUGUAGUAGGCAAGCUGCGGAGGGACGCAGUGAGGUAGCUCAUCCCCGGUGAUGGUUGUCCGGGGCUAAGUGUGUGGACUGUCUGGUAGGUAAAUCCGCUGGGCGUGAAGGUUGAGGCAUGAUGGGGAGCCCAUGGUUGUGGGUGAGUGAGUGAUCCUGUACUGUCGAGAAAAGCUUCGUGAGCGAGGUGGCGGGUCCGCCCGUACCCUAAACCGACACUGGUGGAUAGGUAGAGUAUACCGAGGCGAUCGAGUGAAUCGUGGUGAAGGAACUCGGCAAAAUGCCCCCGUAACUUUGGGAUAAGGGGGACCUGAGCUGUCGUGCACCCGUGCGGUGUGGUGGCGGUGAGGGGCGCAGAGUCCAGGGGGAAACGACUGUUUACCAAAAACACAGGUCCGUGCGAAGUCGUAAGACGAUGUAUACGGACUGACUCCUGCCCGGUGCUGGAAGGUUAAGGGGAACUGUGAGUGUAUGCGUAGCGGUGAACUUAAGCCCCAGUAAACGGCGGUGGUAACUAUAACCAUCCUAAGGUAGCGAAAUUCCUUGUCGGGUAAGUUCCGACCUGCACGAAUGGAGUAACGAUUUCCCUACUGUCUCCACCAUGAACUCGGUGAAAUUGCAUUACGAGUAAAGAUGCUCGUUACGCGCAGCAGGACGGAAAGACCCCGGGACCUUUACUAUAGUUUGGUAUUGGUGAUUGGGACGGUUUGUGUAGGAUAGGUGGGAGACGUUGAUGCGGCCACGCUAGUGGUGGUGGAGUCGUUGGUGAAAUACCACUCUGAUUGUUCUGGUUAUCUCACUGUGGACCGUGAUCCGGUUCAAGGACAGUGCCUGAUGGGUAGUUUGACUGGGGCGGUCGCCUCCUAAAGGGUAACGGAGGCGCCCAAAGGUUCCCUCAGCCUGGUUGGUAAUCAGGUGGUGAGUGUAAGUGCACAAGGGGGCUUGACUGUGAGACUGACAGGUCGAGCAGGGACGAAAGUCGGGACUAGUGAUCUGACGGUGGCUUGUGGAUGCGCCGUCACUCAACGGAUAAAAGGUACCCCGGGGAUAACAGGCUGAUCUUGCCCGAGCGCUCAUAGCGACGGCAUGGUUUGGCACCUCGAUGUCGGCUCGUCGCAUCCUGGGGCUGGAGUCGGUCCCAAGGGUUGGGCUGUUCGCCCAUUAAAGCGGCACGCGAGCUGGGUUCAGAACGUCGUGAGACAGUUCGGUCCCUAUCCGCUGCGCGCGGAGGAAUCUUGAGAAGGGCUGUCUUUAGUACGAGAGGACCGAGACGGACUGACCUCUGGUGUGCCAGUUGUUCUGCCAAGAGCAUGGCUGGUUGGCUACGUCGGGUUGUGAUAACCGCUGAAAGCAUCUAAGCGGGAAGCACGCUUCAAGAUAAGGGUUCCCACAGGAGUGUUCCUGGUAAGGUCCCCGAGAGAUGAUCGGGUUGAUAGGCCAGACGUGGACGCAUCGUAAGGUGUGGAGCUGACUGGUACUAAUAGACCGAGGACUUUCAUUA